Molecule: RNA transcript, 2199 nt
Organism: Rosa rugosa (rugosa rose)
Lineage: Eukaryota; Viridiplantae; Streptophyta; Magnoliopsida; Rosales; Rosaceae
Gene name: cytochrome b6-f complex iron-sulfur subunit, chloroplastic-like
Exons: 7
Source: RefSeq, a predicted model, not a curated record
UAUUCUUUCCUUUACUUUCCCCCAAUUACUCCCACCAAAACAGCAACCCACUCUUACUCGAAACCAAAUCCAAAACAGCCAGCAACCAGAAGGAAGAAUAUUCAAACCAUAGAAAUCAAACCCUAAAAAUCGAACUCAUUUCUCUACUACCCUACUACGAUUUGUAGAUUGAUUUGGAAAGUUAGGGCUUCGAUACUAGUUCUUCAGGUUCAUUUCGCUUUCGCCUUAUUUCAGAUUAGGUUCCGAGUAAUCGAGCAGCAGUGAGAUGAGCAACAACACGGAGAGUUCUGAGCCUCCUGACCUGAGCCUCCUGACCUUGAGAGGCAGCAGCAGCGUGACGGUGGUGCUGAGGUGGUUACCUCAAUUCCCGAUUCUUCUGGCGUUGAGAUGCAGUGUCGCCGCUGCUGAACGUCAUCGUUUCCAGAACCACAGGCUCCCUCGAUCCGCUGCUACCGCCGCAUCCACCGCUAAUUCGUCCAAGGAGCCAUAAUAGAAGAAGGGUAGAAAUCUGUCCAGCACAGAUUAGGUCCGCAACACUUUCGUCUCUGCUUUGUCUGUAUCAAUGCCGAAGAAGAGAAGGAGAGAGAGGUAUCAUAACCCGGAGCCAUUUCGGGCCGACAACGAUGGCGCCUCUGUGGCCUCCAAGAAGCGAACCAAGUCAUUGGACUGAAAUUAUGCUUAGACGGAAGCGAAUUAGAAAUCAUGUUUCAGCUAUGCUCUAGCAAGAGUGCCAUGUUCUCUUUAGCACAGGCCCUGUCUCUGAUGCCCAGGAGGACCCAGAUGAUGGGAAAGGGUAAGGGAAUGAGAAUCACAUGCCAGGCCGCAAUUCCAGCUGAUAAUGUUCCUGACAUGGGUAAGAGGAAGCUUAUGAAUCUGCUUCUUCUACCCUCUGGUUUCCUCUGCCACUUUCUUUGCUCCACCUGGCUUUGUGUUGGAAGUGGUGGUCAAGUUGCCAAGGAUGCUCUACGAAACAAUGUAAUUGCAGCAGAAUGGCUUAAGAACCAUGGCCCUGGUGACAGGGCUUUCACACAAGGAUUGAAGGUCUUUGCUAUGGAAAGUUGGAAGCUGGACUACUUACAUUCAUUAUACCCAUUGUUCUUCUUGGGCACCUGUGUGGCUUGAUGGAUGAUGGAGUGAAACUUUCUCUACUGGGUUCAUGGAUGGCCUUGUUUGUAUUAUUUGCUGGAAGGAAGUUCUCAAAACCAAUUAAGAUUUUGGAGCUGCAAUAUCUGGUGCAAACAAGCUUGGCCAAGUGGUUGAGACUUGCUGUGGUUGAGACUUGCUGUGAAUAUAUGGGGACAACAUCAUUGCUGGUAAUAAGGCGGAAGUAUGGGGAACAAGUUCUUCUUGUUGUCGAGGACUAGUGAGCUCACUCUCUGUUUUGAAGAAAGUAUUCCUUAAGACGAGAAGAUGAUUUGUUCGCAUAGCCAUGGAGAAUGGCUAUCCCCUGGUUUCAGUUUUCUGCUUUGAUCAGCAAACUCGUCAAUCUACUCAGAAUGUGUGUUUGUGUAUUAUCAAGUGCAGCAAACACUAGUGAAGUAAGUUCCCUUACAUUUCUCUUGAGCAUAUUUUGGUGGUCUCUCUUUUCCAAUAGCUAUGUUUUCCAACAUACUUUAGUUGUUAAUUUCUUUGGUAACCUGCUAGGUACUCACUCAGAACUUGUGUUCAACAGCAGCAAGCAAUUAAUGUCAUUUUGAAUGCAUGGCCACAAGAAACUAAUGUAAAAAUUUAUUAUAAUCUGCAUGGUUGCAGACUUGCAGAUAUAUGGGUACAGAAUGGCAUUGUGGGCAGAGCAUUUAGGACUUGUUGAAGAAUGUUUCAAUCAGCCAGAGUUUUGAAUGUGUUCAAAGGGUAAGGUCAUUGGGUGAGCAUAACUGGAGUCAAUACUAGAGCUUCUGCAGGGUCCUUGUCCAUCAUGUGUAGGAUAGAUGACUUAAGAGAUCGAUCGAAAGACUGCUUAUCAUCUUUGCCUACAAGAGAGCUUCUGCAAGAACAAAUGAAGGUGCAUUAAAGGAAAGCAGCAGUAAUCUAUGUAGUUUAGGUCUUCCUAGCUAGAACAUUUUACAAGUACAGACAAUUCUCUAUGUUGUCCUAUCUUGAAUUAUAUGGAUUAUAGUACUAUUUCUAUGGUCAUAUAUUGACCAUUAUUUCUGGAAGAAAGUUUAUAUGGAUAUUCUUGUUGUCGAAGUUUCAUUCAUA